CCUAGGAGGUGUUAUAUUUGAGUUUUCAUCUGAGAUUGCUCUUCCAUAUCUUCUAUGCUACAAUUUCUUUGUUAGAAUUUGUUACUAUAAUGUCUUCUUUUCUUUCCAAUUGAUUUUUAAAAAUAGCUUCUAGUAGCUCUAAAAUAGUAUAUGGUGUGACUACAAUAAUUGACUUGUAACUAGACAAUGGCUAUCAAUACACUACCAAAGAAUAGACAAACAC
RNAcentral lists this long non-coding RNA (223 nucleotides) under Physcomitrium patens. RNAcentral describes it as "long non-coding RNA (PPAT_LNC002138)". The record is from RNAcentral. Lineage: Eukaryota; Viridiplantae; Streptophyta; Bryopsida; Funariales; Funariaceae.